ACGGACCAACGGUGAAGGCACCUGUUCCCGUCAGAUUACCGAAGCAAAUCAACGGUCGGCUUGGUUACCACUUGCAUGGGUGUAACCGGCUCGGAUGCAGUCGGUGUUACGGUC
RNAcentral lists this ribosomal RNA (114 nucleotides) under Fasciola hepatica (liver fluke). The record is from RNAcentral. Lineage: Eukaryota; Metazoa; Platyhelminthes; Trematoda; Plagiorchiida; Fasciolidae.